GCGUAAACCGUCUCAGCGCUGGUGCCGAGCUCAUUAGCCCAACAAAAUCCGUUGCGCUCUGCAAUUAAAUGCUGCCUGAGAUUCCUUGGCCACAGUCUGAGCGAAAGGGAGGGGAGAAGGAGGAACACUACGGGAGGUGUGGUCUCCCACAAACUGAGACAAGCGAGACCUCUGAGUGAGUGACGUACGAGGACGACAAGUUUCAGUUCAAUUUUAUUAUAGCCCAAAAAACUGAACUGAACUGACUAAAGUAAACGGGGCAUCCCCAAGUUUCUUCUCUGUUCUCGGCGUUUUCCUGUCGUGACCUGCGUGGAUUUCACCGCAUAGCUGAGCUGAACAUAAGCAAAGGAUGACACACGAACGAAGCAGGAUGAAGCUGAAGUCUGGAUUCUCCGUGACGAGAGACAGUUUGUUUUCACAGAAAACAGCCUUGAAAACAAUGGGCGCUUAAAAAAAACCCCACCAGGACGACCGCAGAGGAAGAUGAAGGGAAUCGAAGGAGGAGGAUGUAAAGUUCAUCAACGGCUAUGCGGAUGGAUCGUUGCAGAUAAAACACAGAUGGACUGACUUAUCUUGAAGGAAAGAAAACAUUUGUUAAAGAUUAAAGAGUCACUUGAAGGAGUUUUGGCAUGUUUGAUGUGCUCACAGAGGGAGACAAACCUUCCAACAGUUUCUAAGUGCUGCUCUCAUUUACUGCUGUCACUCACUUUAAAGAAACCAGUCAUUAUCUUCACAAGCGUUCUUUCAUCCAGCACUGUUAACUCUGGAUUGUUAUUGUGUUCAAAACAUUCAAUGUUUCUGAGAAUUGGACUGAGUGACUGUGACCCCCACCACCAGAAAAUGGUUUAGUCCGGCUCCAACCAAAUAAAGUCAAAUCAGUCAUCAUC
Oryzias latipes (Japanese medaka) is the source of this 887-nucleotide long non-coding RNA. RefSeq lists it as uncharacterized. The record is from RefSeq and is a predicted model, not a curated record. NCBI's taxonomy places the organism in Eukaryota, Metazoa, Chordata, Actinopteri, Beloniformes, Adrianichthyidae.